GAUGAACGCUGGCGACGUGCCUAAUACAUGCAAGUAGAACGCUGAAGCUUGGUGCUUGCACCGAGCGGAUGAGUUGCGAACGGGUGAGUAACGCGUAGGUAACCUGCCUCUUAGCGGGGGAUAACUAUUGGAAACGAUAGCUAAUACCGCAUAAAAGUCGAUAUCGCAUGAUAUUGAUUUGAAAGGUGCAAUUGCAUCACUAAGAGAUGGACCUGCGUUGUAUUAGCUAGUUGGUGAGGUAACGGCUCACCAAGGCGACGAUACAUAGCCGACCUGAGAGGGUGAUCGGCCACACUGGGACUGAGACACGGCCCAGACUCCUACGGGAGGCAGCAGUAGGGAAUCUUCGGCAAUGGGGGCAACCCUGACCGAGCAACGCCGCGUGAGUGAAGAAGGUUUUCGGAUCGUAAAGCUCGGUUGUAAGAGAAGAACGAGUGUGAGAGUGGAAAGUUCACAAUGUGACGGUAACUUACCAGAAAGAGACGGCUAACUACGUG
This 497-nucleotide ribosomal RNA is filed under the name uncultured bacterium. RNAcentral describes it as "partial 16S ribosomal RNA". It matches the Rfam family "Bacterial small subunit ribosomal RNA", at positions 28 to 507 of the family's 1533-position model. The record is from RNAcentral.